This 67-nucleotide transfer RNA is filed under the name Andrias davidianus (Chinese giant salamander). RNAcentral's name for it is "tRNA-Arg". Lineage: Eukaryota; Metazoa; Chordata; Amphibia; Caudata; Cryptobranchidae. The record is from RNAcentral.
GUAUUUAGUCCAAUAAAGACCGNNNAUUUCGACUCAGUAAAUUUUGGUUUGACCCCAAAAAUAUUUU